GACGAACGCUGGCGGCGUGCUUAACACAUGCAAGUCGAACGGAAAGGCCCUGCUUUUGUGGGGUGCUCGAGUGGCGAACGGGUGAGUAACACGUGAGUAACCUGCCCUUGACUUUGGGAUAACUUCAGGAAACUGGGGCUAAUACCGGAUAGGAGCUCCUGCUGCAUGGUGGGGGUUGGAAAGUUUCGGCGGUUGGGGAUGGACUCGCGGCUUAUCAGCUUGUUGGUGGGGUAGUGGCUUACCAAGGCUUUGACGGGGAGCCGGCCUGAGAGGGUGACCGGCCACAUUGGGACUGAGAUACGGCCCAGACUCCUACGGGAGGCAGCAGUGGGGAAUAUUGCACAAUGGGCGGAGGCCUGAUGCAGCAACGCCGCGUGCGGGAUGACGGCCUUCGGGUUGUAAACCGCUUUCGCCUGUGACGAAGCGUGAGUGACGGUAAUGGGUAAAGAAGCACCGGCUAACUACGUG
This 468-nucleotide ribosomal RNA is filed under the name uncultured bacterium. Its description in RNAcentral is "partial 16S ribosomal RNA". It matches the Rfam family "Bacterial small subunit ribosomal RNA", at positions 28 to 507 of the family's 1533-position model. The record is from RNAcentral.